CGCGUAGUUAGCCGGGGCUUCUUAGUCAGGUACCGUCAUUUUCUUCCCUGCUGAUAGAGCUUUACAUACCGAAAUACUUCCUCACUCACGCGGCGUCGCUGCAUCAGGGUUUCCCCCAUUGUGCAAUAUUCCCCACUGCUGCCUCCCGUAGGAGUUUGGGCCGUGUCUCAGUCCCAAUGUGGCCGGUCGCCCUCUCAGGUCGGCUACUGAUCGUCGGCUUGGUAGGCUUCUACCCCACCAACUACCUAAUCAGACGCGGGCCCAUCUUACACCACCUCAGUUUUUACCUCUGUACCAUGCGGUACUGGGGUCUUAUGCGGUAUUAGCAAUCAUUUCUAAUUGUUAUCCCCCUGUGUAAGGCAGGUUGCCCACGCGUUACUCACCCGUCCGCCGCUAAGUCACCCUCUCUUCCCUCCGAAGAGUUCUAAAAAGUGCUUCGCUCGACUUGCAUGUGUUAAGCACGCCGCCAGCGUUCAUCCUGAGCCAGGAUCAAACUCU
RNAcentral lists this ribosomal RNA (498 nucleotides) under uncultured Lachnospiraceae bacterium. Its description in RNAcentral is "partial 16S ribosomal RNA". Lineage: Bacteria; Bacillati; Bacillota; Clostridia; Lachnospirales; Lachnospiraceae. The record is from RNAcentral.